AGAAGCAUGGUAUAAUCCCGCUUGGGCAAGGAUCAGCCUAUGCCGCUCGAGAGGCGCCGUAGGCGGGGUCAGUUUUGCCCGUAUUGGUCGCUUCGGUCGCAGGGAAGGGAGGCUGGACGAGACCGAGAGGGCGGUGCGGCUCCGAAGGUUCAUACAUGUGGGUAGCUCGCAUAUGGAAGACUGGCAUGCGGCUUUGUACGUGAGAAAGAAUCAGGGGUCGAGGAGGAGGUCGAUCCAUUUUCUCCUAGGUAAAGUCGGGCAGAAGACCUGAAAAUGAGAGCCGACGUGCACGGAUUUCUCUGUAUUAAUGCCGAUCUCAAAAGUAAAAUAAUGCUGCUUACCCUGCACUUCCCCACGUCGCCCUCACGUCCCUCUUCAGCGACUUUUUCUUCCUCCUCGUUUCUUCCUUCGCUAUUUUGCAGUGCCCUACCCCAUUUCUGCUCUAAUACGGACCGAACAGGUUUGUCGACCUAGCUUCCACCUUCAACCCUUCUCCAUUGAAUCAUUUCUGGCCUUCUACAGCUUCGAUUCUAGGCAGCAAACAGAUAACCAGGACUCUAUUUGGCGCAUAGCAGUACAUUUUUUUUGGUCCAUCCACUGCAGGAUGGAAAGGUUCUGCACAUUAUGCUCGCAUUUUUAAACAUGAUGUGACAAAUCCUAAAUUUAAUUUUCCAAAACCACCAACAGGUAAAUAUUACUUAAUUGAUGCAGCUUUUCCUCUGAAAAAAGGAUAUCUGAAGCCUUACCAAGAUACACGAUAUCAUUUAGCAGAUUUUGUUCGAGAAAGUUAACCAAUAAGGGGUUACAGGGAAGUAUUCAAUAAGAGACAUUCCUCAUUACGAAGUAUCAUUGAGCGUGCAUUUUGUGUGUGGAAAAAAAAAUGGAGAAUUCUACAUGAUAUGUCAAAUAACGCAUUCAAGAAACAAUGUCAAAUAAUUAUAGGUACAAUGACAUUGCAUAAUUUUAUGCGAAGACAUAACUCACGGGUCGAUCCUGAUUUUGAUGAGUAUGAGAAGGAUGAAAACUUUGGUUUUUCUGACUGUAGUCUAGACAGAGUUCCAGAACCAGAUGAAGAAAAUGUUUGUGUUGACGAACAGGCUGAUGGUGAAGGUGUAACUGAGAUGAAAGAAGUUAGAGAUAAUAUCACAAAACAAUUGUACAACUUUAGUAUGUAGUAUAGUUAUCUUAAUAAUGAUUUUCAAAAUUUAAUAUUAUAGAAAAAUUGUGUUGUGUUUUCUUUUGUUAUUAA
This is a long non-coding RNA of Dendrobium catenatum, 1249 nucleotides long. RefSeq lists it as uncharacterized. The record is from RefSeq and is a predicted model, not a curated record. Lineage: Eukaryota; Viridiplantae; Streptophyta; Magnoliopsida; Asparagales; Orchidaceae. The transcript has 5 exons.